This 492-nucleotide ribosomal RNA is filed under the name uncultured bacterium. RNAcentral describes it as "partial 16S ribosomal RNA". It matches the Rfam family "Bacterial small subunit ribosomal RNA", at positions 29 to 507 of the family's 1533-position model. The record is from RNAcentral.
AGUGAACGCUGGCGGUAGGCCUAACACAUGCAAGUCGAACGGCAGCACAGUAAGAGCUUGCUCUUACGGGUGGCGAGUGGCGGACGGGUGAGGAAUACAUCGGAAUCUACUUUUUCGUGGGGGAUAACGUAGGGAAACUUACGCUAAUACCGCAUACGACCUACGGGUGAAAGCAGGGGAUCUUCGGACCUUGCGCGAUUGAAUGAGCCGAUGUCGGAUUAGCUAGUUGGCGGGGUAAAGGCCCACCAGGGCGACGAUCCGUAGCUGGUCUGAGAGGAUGAUCAGCCACACUGGAACUGAGACACGGUCCAGACUCCUACGGGAGGCAGCAGUGGGGAAUAUUGGACAAUGGGCGCAAGCCUGAUCCAGCCAUGCCGCGUGGGUGAAGAAGGCCUUCGGGUUGUAAAGCCCUUUUGUUGGGAAAGAAAAGCAGCAGGUUAAUACCCCGCUGUUCUGACGGUACCCAAAGAAUAAGCACCGGCUAACUUCGUG